Rhincodon typus (whale shark) is the source of this 739-nucleotide long non-coding RNA. RefSeq lists it as uncharacterized. Lineage: Eukaryota; Metazoa; Chordata; Chondrichthyes; Orectolobiformes; Rhincodontidae. The transcript is spliced from 4 exons. The record is from RefSeq and is a predicted model, not a curated record.
AGCACUUGUUGCCCAUCCCUAGUUGCUCUUGAGAAACUGUCGAUGAGCUGCCUUCUUGAACUGCUGCAGUCCAUUUGGAGUAUAGGUAGACGCUCAAUGGUAUUAGGGCAGACGUUCCACGAUUUUGACCCAGCGACGGUGAAGGAACGGCGAUUAUAGUUCCAAGUCUAUAUGGAUUUCUGGUGUUGUGAGGAAUAUAUUGCACGAUUAUGUCCUUGUUUCUGUGAAAAGUGCACAGUGGUCCAGUACACCGAAUAGCUGAGGAGUCCAGCUCAAUCAGAUGUACAGGAAUUUGAAAUGUUGCUAAGACUUCGAGAAAUCUGCAAGUACUGAACACGCACACUGGACCUCCAUGAACUGAAUGUGUACACUUCUGUGUCAAGAGUCGACAGGUUUCACUCAGUAUGCAGAAUCUGAGCCGAACAUGUUUCACACCACGUGACUUGACUUGUUUCUGUAUCGUGCUGUUCACCUGUUCAUUCCUGAUGCCAAAAUAAGCCACACUCUUGUCCUGCACUAUUUUUUUACAUUCUGUUCAUGUGACACCUUUUGAGAAUGAGGCUGAGAAUGCGAAAGGCUUCUCAGCAGACAAACCCUGUCCAUGCAUCACGACCAGACAAGAAACGGAAGCGCUCAGAUGUAGAUGAUUCAAUACCUAUUAUGGGCGCAAAACCACAGAAAAAGGAAACUGGUUUGCUCUCAUCAAUUAAAAGACUUAUUCGAGGAACUGCUACAAAGG